This is a non-coding RNA of Podarcis lilfordi (Lilford's wall lizard), 77 nucleotides long. NCBI's taxonomy places the organism in Eukaryota, Metazoa, Chordata, Lepidosauria, Squamata, Lacertidae. The record is from the annotation of a GenBank genome assembly.
GCGAUCGAUUAUUGCUCAGUUGGCAGAGCAUAAGACUCUUAAUCUCACAGUCAUGGGUUCAACCCCCAUGUUAGGCA